This 253-nucleotide ribosomal RNA is filed under the name uncultured bacterium. RNAcentral describes it as "partial 16S ribosomal RNA". It matches the Rfam family "Bacterial small subunit ribosomal RNA", at positions 524 to 776 of the family's 1533-position model. The record is from RNAcentral.
UACGUAGGGACCAAGCGUUGUUCGGAUUUACUGGGCGUAAAGGGCGCGUAGGCGGCGCAGUAAGUCACUUGUGAAAUCUCUGAGCUUAACUCAGAACGGCCAAGUGAUACUGCAGUGCUAGAGUGUGGAAGGGGCAAUCGGAAUUCUUGGUGUAGCGGUGAAAUGCGUAGAUAUCAAGAGGAACACCUGAGGUGAAGACGGGUUGCUGGGCCAACACUGACGCUGAGGCGCGAAAGCCAGGGGAGCAAACGGG